RNA transcript from Oncorhynchus kisutch (coho salmon), 5500 nucleotides. It is a transcript of the gene named RNA-binding protein 15 pseudogene, with no coding region annotated. The record is from RefSeq and is a predicted model, not a curated record. The transcript has a single exon. NCBI's taxonomy places the organism in Eukaryota, Metazoa, Chordata, Actinopteri, Salmoniformes, Salmonidae.
UCCUCCAAUCAGCUCGAAGGGGCGGGCUCUGACAGUAUUCCAGACAAAAUGGCGGAUGUUGUUGUUUUGCCGCAGGGUCAGUGCUAAUCGGAGUUCGCCUUUUCACUGAUUUACUGUAAGAAAAUACAUACAUAAUAUCGUUGGCGACAACCUUCAUCAUUGUAAGGGUUUGCGAGGUGGACUGUAAUGAAAGGCAAAGAAAGGUCGCCGAUUAAAAAGCGCUCUCGGGUUUUGGAUGAUAUCCGAGACAGGGGAGGAGGCCAUCCGCCCAGCAAGAAAAUGGGGGCUAUCUCCGUUUCCAGUGGGAGCAAUAAUGGAAAUAGCUCGACUAAAAGUGACGCAGGAUCUACAAGAAGGAGUUUGUUGGGCGAAAAGAGAGACAGGGAUUUUGACGGGCAUGUUUCCAGUCGAUCCGGCGUGAGUAACCAUAGUUAUCCCGGUGCUGUUGCUAGCGCUAUCGGUAAGAACCACAACUUGGGCUUGCCUCUCGAUUUAGCCACUGCAAGGACUAGUAAUUCUCGUGGCGAGCGUGCUCUGCCUCCCCCCAACAACAACGAAAGUGAGUACAAAACUCUUAAAAUCAGUGAAUUGGGAACUCAGUUGAGCGAUGAAGACAUCGAAGACGGACUUUUCCACGAAUUCAAAAAAUUUGGGGACGUGAGUGUCAAAAUAAGCCGCAGCAACGACGAGAGAAUCGCGUUUGUCAACUUCAGAAAGCCCGAGGAUGCCAGAGCAGCUAAACACGCCCGGGGUAGGUUAGUACUUUAUGACCGUCCUCUGAAAAUCGACGCAGUGUACAUAAACAGACGGAGAAGUCGCUCUCCAGUUGAGAGAGUUGACAGAGACCCUUAUGUUGGAGCCCCAGGGCACAGACACCUUCACACCCAGAGACCCCUCUCCCCAUCAGGGCUUGGAUACAGAGACUACAGACUACAGCAGCUGGCACUUGGGCGCCUCCCUCCUCCCCCACUUCCCCCUUUGCCCAGAGACCUAGAACGGGAGAGGGAGUUUGCCCUGUUUGAAGCCAGGUCACGCCCAGGUCCUGCUUUCAUUGCAGAGAGAGCUGCUGCUUUCCGCGAGGAGGAUUUUAUCUCUCCCGAGGAUGACCAAAGAGCUAACAGAACGCUGUUUCUGGGCAACUUGGACAUUACAGUCACAGAGACGGACCUGAGGAGGGCGUUUGACAGGUUUGGGGUGAUAACAGAGGUGGAUAUUAAGCCCACACGAGGACAGACCAGCACAUACGGAUUUCUGAAGUUUGAGAACCUAGACAUGGCCCACCGCGCCAAACUCACCAUGUCUGGGAAGAUAGUGGGCCGUAACCCCAUAAAGAUUGGCUAUGGUAAGGCCACCCCUACCACACGCCUAUGGGUGGGUGGGCUCGGACCCUGGGUCCCCCUAGCAGCAUUGGCCAGAGAGUUUGACCGCUUUGGUACAAUAAGGACCAUUGACUACAGAAAGGGGGACACCUGGGCUUACAUACAGUACGAGAGCCUUGACGCUGCUCAGGCUGCGUGCACUCACAUGCGUGGCUUCCCUCUGGGGGGGCCCGAGAGGAGACUCAGGGUGGACUUUGCAGACACAGAGCACCACUACCAGCAGCAGUUCCUUCAGCCUCUUCCUCUACCCCCCUUCGACAUGGUGGCAGAGGCUUUCAUCCACCGAGCCACAGCUGAGCCCCUGAGGGACAGAGAAAGGACUCCACCGCCGCUCCACUUCAGAGAGAGAGAUCUGGGCUUCCCCGGGGCUGAGUGGCCCCCUAACCCGGCUAUGCGUGAACGAGUACGUCCCGGGGUCUUUGAGCUGCCAGAUCACCUGCAGCGGGACCGGCGGCCGGGGGGGAGGGAGCCCUGGUCUCUGGAGCGUGAGCUGGUGGGGCGCGGCGGUGACCCGGGACGGAAACGACGCCUCAUGGACGACGGUCGCCAUCUUGAUGUCUCUCCUGAUAGCACUGACCGCACGGCACGCCGGCGCAGAGGUGGCCCAUCCCCAGACGGUAGCCCCGACGGAGGCCGCUUCAGUGACUCAGAGCGCCCCCCUCGCGGCGACGACAGACCCUCCCCUGGACGCGACCGCCGCCCCAGUCUGGAGCGUCCUGGCGGAGGAGACAGGAGAUUGAAGAACCAGGGGAAUCUCGCUGAGAGAGGGGCCUCCAGCAGUGGCCUCACAUCUUCAACAGGGGAACGGAAACGUAAAGCCGGCGACAGCAGCAGCAGAGGACCUGGAGCUAAGAGGGAUCGCUCCUCAGACCAGGGCGGCUCUAAAGGCAGUCAGUCAUCCAAGCUGAGCCUGGCCUGGCACGGCAUGCUCCUCCUGAAGAACAGCAACUUCCCCGCCAACAUGCACCUCCUGGAGGGUCACCAGGGCGUGGCCAAGGACCUCCUCGUCGACGGCCCCACGGGGAGACAGGUGGGCGAACUCAAGAUCACCCAGCGUCUCCGCCUCGACCAGCCCAAGCUGGACGAGGUCUCCAGACGCAUCAAAGCGGCCGGCCCCGGUGGCUACGCUGUCCUCCUGGCGGUUCCCGGUUCCGGUGGCGAGGAUGUGUCGUCGACGGACCCUGCAGCUUCCACCCAGCGUCCUCUCCGCAAUCUGGUGUCCUACCUGAAACAGAAGCAGGCAGCCGGAGUCAUCAGCCUGCCCGUUGGAGGCAGCCGGGAUAAGGACCACCAGGGUGUUCUCCAUGCGUUCCCUCCCUGUGAGUUCUCACAGCAGUUCAUUGAUGCCUCGGCUAAAGCUCUGGCCAAAACCGACGAGGACUAUCUGGUGAUGGUCGUGGUGCGAGGGCCAUCAUAACUACAAUCAGAGAGGAAGCAGGACAUCAGUGAUAUUGUACAAAAGAAAAAAAGAUGUCUGUAACUACUAUUGCAUGCUGUGUGUUGAGUUCAGCUCCAUGGGGUACUACUACUAGAGUAGGGGUAUGAUGGGGUACUACUAUAGAGUAGGGGUAUGAUGGGGUACUACUAGAUGGGGUACUACUAGAGUAGGGGUAUGAUGGGGGCGUAGGCUAUGUCACUAUUUGUUCCACUAAAAUAAAUAUGAAAUGCCCUCUUGAAAGUCAACAAAUGUGUAGGAAAAUUGUGCAACCCUGUUUUAUUAAAUAAGUGUGUGCUCAUUUCCAGACAGUAUUAUAAAAGGGGGACAUUCUAGAAAUACAAUCUAACUUGAAAUGAGGUAAAAUAGCACCCGUUUUCAAUUAGGAAAACUUGAAUCAACCGCUGUGUAUGAGAAGGCUCCAUUCCAACAUUUGGUCCACUGUUAGUGUUCCAUUGAUCGUAUUAUAUACAGAUCCUUCAGAAAGUAUUCACACCCCUUGAUUAAUUCCACAUUUUUCUUGUGUUACAGCCUGAAUUUAAAAUGGAUUUAAAAGAAGUUUGUCUCUCCCAUCUACACACAAUACCCAAUACACAAUACAAAGUGAAAACAUGUUUUUAGAAAUUUUGCCAAAUUUAAUUGAAAAUUAAAUACAGAAUGAUCUCAUUUACAUGAGUAUUCACACCCCGUAGUCAAUACUUUGUUUCUAAGUACCUUUAGCAGCAAUUACAGCUGUGAGUCUUUCUGGGGUCAGUCUCUAAGAACUUUCCACUCUGUUUAUUAUGCUUCCUUCUCUUCUCGCUGUCAGUUAGGUUAGUAACUACUACGUUGUUGAUCCACCCUCUGUCAUUAAAACAUCAUGUUAAACACUAUUAUUGCACACAGUGAGUCCAUGCAACUUAUUAUGUGACUUGUUAAGCACAUUUUUUACUCCUGGACGUAUUUAGGCUUGCCAUAACAAAGGGGUUGAAUACUUAUUUUUUCACGACAUUUCAGAUUUUCAUUUUUUUAUUAAUUUGUAAAAAAUAAAAAAAAUAAAAAAAGAUAAUUCCACUUUGCCGUUAUGUGGUAUUGUGUGUAGGCCAGUGACACAUCUCAAUGGAAUCCAUUUUAAAUUCAGGCUGUAACACAAGAAAAUGUGGGGAAAGUCAAGGGGUGUGAAUACUUUCUAGAAGGCUCUGUAGAUUAGGCUGCUUUAUGCUUCAUUACAAUCAUUUCAUGUCAUUUACAGUUAAUUAUAUAUUUUUCACCUCAAGGCCCUUUCUAAAAGUCCUGAAUUAUGAAGCCACAUGUCACAUUUUGAGAAAGAUACCACCAGAUCUGUUUGACGAGGAUAUAAAUCAUAUUUCCAUUUCUCACAAAAAAAAGUAUUUGGGGACAAUUAUGUUGGGAUAUGUCAUUACUUGACAACAUUGACUUCCUGUCUUUCUGUAAUACAUGAAAAUGGUUCAAACCUAGGAAUCGAAUGUCCCUAUGCACAGUAGGCUAUCUGUGGUUAGGUUAGCCCACACCUCUUAUGGUUAAGGAAUGGUUCAUGACACUACAAAAUGUGCCGAGACAAUGGGGUUUAGUUGCUGAGUGUAAACUCAACCUAACUUGUCUGUGGUGUGAAUAUAGUGUAUUCAAUUGGUUUCCAAAUGUGUUUUAAUGUUUAAGCUACUCACCAGUAAUACUUGGGCGUAUUGAGAGGCUGAAUGAGAAAUAUAGAGGUGAUUUUUGCCCAGCUAAUAUACUGUAGGAUGGGCCCAUCAAUGCAAUGACGCAACAAACACACAGCCCACUAAGAGAGAUGCUAAGGGUAGAUUUUAUUGUGUGCAUUUUCUUUAGCACCACCUGACCCUUGGUAGUAACUUGUGACCUAUAACCUUUGACCUAUAAUGUGUGGUAAAAUUACACUAGAGAUAAAAAACAAACUGAAGCUUUUGUUGUUGUUGACAUUUGUUGGUCCGGUUUCAUUCAAUUAAUAUACCAAUGUUUGUUGCCAAGUUUGUCUGAAUAUGACAGUAUUUUAUUGGUAAUCAUUGCUAACAAAUGAUUUACGUUAAUCCUAAUGAUCAAUCAGUUAAAAGGCUAUUCAACAUUUGGAGAAACUGAUCAUUUUAGGUUUUUUUUGUUGAAGAAAACUUAAAUUGUAAGUUUGAUAAGUUUUUAGUGCUAUUAUUUUUUAGUAUUUUUAAACCACAAUGUUUUCCCCUUUUGCGGCCAGCAGAAAACAGCUAGAUUUGUCAGACUUAAAAGCCUACUGUUGGUAACAUUUUAUGGCAGUUUUUUUUAAAACUGAUUUGUAGUUUUAGGAUGUUUUAAGAGGAGGUUGGUCUGGUUUAUCUGUUUGAAAAACUGUAUGAGAAAAAAAAAUCUGUAUUUGUCUCACCGCCUCAACUGUGGACUUCCUAUGGCUCAAACCUCACAGGAAACUCUGAAGAGAAGGAAACUACUUAGUAUUUGUGUGUUUUCACUGAGAAAGCAGCUUUUAAGUUGUCUUCUUUUGUGUCCUGUUUUAAAUGGAGUAAUAUGACCCUCUGGCUUUGUGCUGUGUACCUGGUUUCAUUGGGAACACAAGAAAAGGGGAAAUCCUCUUCCCACACUGCGCUUACUGCCAAGCUGUUUAACACACACAGAGACAAAGUGCAUUUAUGCACUUAUUUGUCCUCCGAAUAUCAAUAAAUGUUCAUUUGUUGGAAACUUG